This 77-nucleotide transfer RNA is filed under the name Gammaproteobacteria bacterium. RNAcentral describes it as "tRNA-Arg". It matches the Rfam family "tRNA". Rfam says of the family: Transfer RNA (tRNA) molecules are approximately 80 nucleotides in length. Their secondary structure includes four short double-helical elements and three loops (D, anti-codon, and T loops). Lineage: Bacteria; Pseudomonadati; Pseudomonadota; Gammaproteobacteria. The record is from RNAcentral.
GCGCCCGUAGCUCAACCGGAUAGAGCACCGGCCUUCUAAGCCGGGGGUUGGAGAUUCGAGUUCUCCCGGGCGCGCCA